GGUCAAGUUAGUAAGGGUCCACGGUGGAUGCCUUGGGGCCAAGAGCCGAAGAAGGGCGUGGCAAGACUGCGAAAAGCCCCGGUCAGCUGUCUAGCGAGCUUAACCGGGGAUUCCCGAAUGGGGAAACCCCCCUUGGGUCAAUCCAAGGGACCCCGAUUUAUCGGGGGGGUAAGCGGGUGAACUGAAACAACUAAGUAACCCGAGGAAAAUAAAUCAACCGAGAUUCCCAAAGUAGUGGCGAACGAAAUGGGAAUAGCCCAAACCUUCCGGGCUUAGUGGGCUGAGGCCCUAUGUCCGGAGGGGGUUGUAACACACACCUGUUCCAGCCUCAGGAGGAGCAAGGAGUAAGAAACUCGUUCCUUAGCCGAAUGAUCCUGGAAAGGACGACCGGAGAAGGUGAUAGUCCUGUACGCGAAAGGGAGCGAGCUCCUGGUGUGCUGUUGAGUACCACGGGACACGUGAAAUCUUGUGGGAAGCUGGGGAGACCACUCUCCAAGGCUAAAUA
This 505-nucleotide ribosomal RNA is filed under the name SAR202 cluster bacterium. RNAcentral describes it as "partial 23S ribosomal RNA". It matches the Rfam family "Bacterial large subunit ribosomal RNA", at positions 1 to 472 of the family's 2925-position model. Lineage: Bacteria; Bacillati; Chloroflexota; Dehalococcoidia. The record is from RNAcentral.